GACGAACGCUGGCGGCGUGCUUAACACAUGCAAGUCGAACGGAAAGGCCCUGCUUGUGUGGGGUGCUCGAGUGGCGAACGGGUGAGUAACACGUGAGUAACCUGCCCUUGACUUUGGGAUAACUUCAGGAAACUGGGGCUAAUACCGGAUAGGAGCUCCUGCUGCAUGGUGGGGGUUGGAAAGUUUCGGCGGUUGGGGAUGGAUUCGCGGCUUAUCAGCUUGUUGGUGGGGUAGUGGCUUACCAAGGCUUUGACGGGUAGCCGGCAUGAGAGGGUGACCGGCCACAUUGGGACUAAGAUACGGCCCAGACUCCUACGGGAGGCAGCAGUGGGGAAUAUUGCACAAUGGGAGGAAGCCUGAUGCAGCAGCGCCGCGUGCGGGAUGACGGCCUUCGGGUUGUAAACCGCUUUCGCCUGUGACGAAGCGUGAGUGACGGUAAUGGGUAAAGAAGCACCGGCUAACUACGUG
RNAcentral lists this ribosomal RNA (468 nucleotides) under uncultured bacterium. RNAcentral's name for it is "partial 16S ribosomal RNA". It matches the Rfam family "Bacterial small subunit ribosomal RNA", at positions 28 to 507 of the family's 1533-position model. The record is from RNAcentral.